RNAcentral lists this ribosomal RNA (474 nucleotides) under uncultured soil bacterium. RNAcentral describes it as "bacterial SSU rRNA". It matches the Rfam family "Bacterial small subunit ribosomal RNA", at positions 26 to 518 of the family's 1533-position model. The record is from RNAcentral.
AGGACGAACGCUGGCGGCGUGCUUAACACAUGCAAGUCGAGCGGUAAGGCCUUUCGGGGUACACGAGCGGCGAACGGGUGAGUAACACGUGGGUGAUCUGCCCUGCACUCUGGGAUAAGCCUGGGAAACUGGGUCUAAUACCGGAUAUGACCUGCUCUCGCAUGGGGGGUGGGUGGAAAGAUUUAUCGGUGCAGGAUGGGCCCGCGGCCUAUCAGCUUGUUGGUGGGGUAAUGGCCUACCAAGGCGACGACGGGUAGCCGACCUGAGAGGGUGACCGGCCACACUGGGACUGAGACACGGCCCAGACUCCUACGGGAGGCAGCAGUGGGGAAUAUUGCACAAUGGGCGAAAGCCUGAUGCAGCGACGCCGCGUGAGGAUGAAGGCCUUCGGGUUGUAAACCUCUUCAGCAGGACGAAGCGCAAGUGACGGUACCUGCAGAAGAAGCACCGGCUAACUACGUGCCAGCACGCCGC